UUCGGUUUGGGUGGCGGACGGGUGAGUAACGCGUAAAGAACUUGCCUCACAGUUAGGGACAACAUUUGGAAACGAAUGCUAAUACCUGAUAUUAUGAUUUUAGGGCAUCCUAAGAUUAUGAAAGCUAUAUGCACUGUGAGAGAGCUUUGCGUCCCAUUAGCUAGUUGGAGAGGUAACGGCUCACCAAGGCGAUGAUGGGUAGCCGGCCUGAGAGGGUGAACGGCCACAAGGGGACUGAGACACGGCCCUUACUCCUACGGGAGGCAGCAGUGGGGAAUAUUGGACAAUGGACCAAAAGUCUGAUCCAGCAAUUCUGUGUGCACGAUGACGUUUUUCGGAAUGUAAAGUGCUUUCAGUUGGGAAGAAAAAAAUGACGGUACCAACAGAAGAAGUGACGGCUAAAUACGUGCCAGCAGCCGCGGUAAUACGUAUGUCACAAGCGUUAUCCGGAUUUAUUGGGCGUAAAGCGCGUCUAGGUGGUUAUGUAAGUCUGAUGUGAAAAUGCAGGGCUCAACUCUGUAUUGCGUUGGAAACUGCAUGACUAGAGCACUGGAGAGGUAAGCGGAACUACAAGUGUAGAGGUGAAAUGCGUAGAUAUUAGGAGGAAUACCGGUGGCGAAGGCGACUUGCUGGACUUCAACUGACGCUGAGGAACGAAAGCGUGGGUAGCAAACAGGAUUAGAUAUCCUGGUAGUCCACGCCGUAAACGAUGAGUGCUAGGUGUCGGGGGUCAAACCUCGGUGCC
This 745-nucleotide ribosomal RNA is filed under the name uncultured Fusobacteriaceae bacterium. RNAcentral describes it as "bacterial SSU rRNA". It matches the Rfam family "Bacterial small subunit ribosomal RNA", at positions 85 to 847 of the family's 1533-position model. Lineage: Bacteria; Fusobacteriati; Fusobacteriota; Fusobacteriia; Fusobacteriales; Fusobacteriaceae. The record is from RNAcentral.